UGCGGAGUGGUGUAAUGGUAACACGCCUGUCUUUGGAACAGGAAACUCUUGGUUCGAUCCCAAGCUCCGCAG
Molecule: transfer RNA, 72 nt
Filed under: Candidatus Woesebacteria bacterium GWB1_43_5
Lineage: Bacteria; Candidatus Woeseibacteriota
Description: tRNA-Gln
Rfam family: tRNA
About the family: Transfer RNA (tRNA) molecules are approximately 80 nucleotides in length. Their secondary structure includes four short double-helical elements and three loops (D, anti-codon, and T loops).
Source: RNAcentral